RNAcentral lists this ribosomal RNA (301 nucleotides) under uncultured bacterium. RNAcentral describes it as "partial 16S ribosomal RNA". It matches the Rfam family "Bacterial small subunit ribosomal RNA", at positions 509 to 807 of the family's 1533-position model. The record is from RNAcentral.
CAGCAGCCACGGUAAUACGUAGGUGGCAAGCGUUGUCCGGAAUUAUUGGGCGUAAAGGGCUCGCAGGCGGUUUCUUAAGUCUGAUGUGAAAGCCCCCGGCUCAACCGGGGAGGGUCAUUGGAAACUGGGAAACUUGAGUGCAGAAGAGGAGAGUGGAAUUCCACGUGUAGCGGUGAAAUGCGCAGAGAUGUGGAGGAACACCAGUGGCGAAGGCGACUCUCUGGUCUGUAACUGACGCUGAGGAGCGAAAGCGUGGGGAGCGAACAGAAUUAGAUACCCCUGUAGUCCCUGUCUCUUAUAC